RNAcentral lists this ribosomal RNA (536 nucleotides) under uncultured bacterium. RNAcentral's name for it is "partial 16S ribosomal RNA". It matches the Rfam family "Bacterial small subunit ribosomal RNA", at positions 355 to 883 of the family's 1533-position model. The record is from RNAcentral.
UGGGGAAUUUUGGACAAUGGGGGAAACCCUGAUCCAGCCAUCCCGCGUGUGCGAUGAAGGCCUUCGGGUUGUAAAGCACUUUUGGCAGGAAAGAAACGUCGCGGGUUAAUACCCCGCGAAACUGACGGUACCUGCAGAAUAAGCACCGGCUAACUACGUGCCAGCAGCCGCGGUAAUACGUAGGGUGCAAGCGUUAAUCGGAAUUACUGGGCGUAAAGCGUGCGCAGGCGGUUCGGAAAGAAAGAUGUGAAAUCCCAGAGCUUAACUUUGGAACUGCAUUUUUAACUACCGGGCUAGAGUGUGUCAGAGGGAGGUGGAAUUCCGCGUGUAGCAGUGAAAUGCGUAGAUAUGCGGAGGAACACCGAUGGCGAAGGCAGCCUCCUGGGAUAACACUGACGCUCAUGCACGAAAGCGUGGGGAGCAAACAGGAUUAGAUACCCUGGUAGUCCACGCCCUAAANGAUGUCAACUAGCCUGUUGGGGCCUUCGGGCCUUGGUAGCGCAGCUAACGCGUGAAGUUGACCGCCUGGGGAGUAC